RNAcentral lists this ribosomal RNA (446 nucleotides) under uncultured bacterium. Its description in RNAcentral is "partial 16S ribosomal RNA". It matches the Rfam family "Bacterial small subunit ribosomal RNA", at positions 331 to 794 of the family's 1533-position model. The record is from RNAcentral.
CCAGACUCCUACGGGAGGCAGCAGUGGGGAAUAUUGCACAAUGGGGGAAACCCUGAUGCAGCGACGUCGCGUGAGUGAUGAAGUAUUUCGGUAUGUAAAGCUCUAUCAGCAGGGAAGAAAAUGACGGUACCUGACUAAGAAGCCCCGGCUAACUACGUGCCAGCAGCCGCGGUAAUACGUAGGGGGCAAGCGUUAUCCGGAUUUACUGGGUGUAAAGGGAGCGUAGACGGCGGUGCAAGCCAGAUGUGAAAGCCCGGGGCUCAACCCCGGGACUGCAUUUGGAACUGUGCUGCUAGAGUGUCGGAGAGGCAGGCGGAAUUCCUAGUGUAGCGGUGAAAUGCGUAGAUAUUAGGAGGAACACCAGUGGCGAAGGCGGCUUGCUGGACUGUAAAUGACGCUGAGGCUCGAAAGCGUGGGGAGCAAACAGGAUUAGAUACCCCCGUAAC